GGGAAGAUAUUGCACCCCUAGGAGAGACUGGGGGAUGCCCCAUGAUCUCUAGGUGAUUUUUAGACACACUGAGGUUUUUUUUUGCCACAAGGAGGGAUCAGGUGGCCAGCUGCUGGCUGAUUGCCCCUGACAGGUAGCCGGAGGCAGUUGAAGGAAGCCAGAGACUGCUGAAGGGAGCUGGCCACUGAUGAGUAAUUGCUGGUAUUAGGUUUCUUUCUUUACUGCGGCUGGCCUGACAGGGAGGGAAGGAAGCUGAAGCAGCUGAAAAAAAGCCAAAGGUCAGGUUUCUUUCCUGAUUAAAACCUAGAUGCUUUGGGCAGUUGUUAACCCUUUCCUUGAAACUUCUUGGUCUCAAUAAUAGAAAAUCAGCCUGUUUGUCAAACAGCUUGCUUAAGGUUUUAUGGUCCUUACAAGUACAUGCCAAGAAAUGAGAUCUUAAGAUAAGCUCCUGGGAUCGGGGUAGUUUACGUGUCUGUGUCUCUGUUGUUUGUCUUCUGGCUUUUGCUGUUUGUCUCAUGUGUAUUUCUGUAUUUGGACGCAGCAGCAAGGAAGCUGGCUGAUACCAAAGGAGGAGCCUGCCAGAGGACAAAAGUGUGUGAGAGAGGAGGCUGAAGGCAUCAUCAGGACCCACCAGAUGUGAAAGACUUAAGACUUUGGGAAAUGGGGGUGUUGGAGGCAGCAUCAAUCUGUAUAUUCCAGGUCCACAGCCAGGAUCAAGGCAGAGACCAGAAUCUCCAUCCUAUGUCAUAGGGGGAUUCCUGCUCCAGAGUUGGAGGACAGAGAAGUGGCAGUCAGUGAGCACAGUCUCCAUGAGGAGAAGGAAGGGAAUGACUGGGAAGGAAUUCAAUCCUGAGGACAGAGUGGCGCUUUAAUAGACUCAUUGACUGAUUGAUGGAGAGUCCUUGUAGAGGCCAGAGG
This 918-nucleotide long non-coding RNA is filed under the name Monodelphis domestica (gray short-tailed opossum). Its description in RNAcentral is "lncRNA (ENSMODG00000046517.1)". The record is from RNAcentral. Lineage: Eukaryota; Metazoa; Chordata; Mammalia; Didelphimorphia; Didelphidae.